GUGUCAGCCGCCGCGGUAAUACGGAGGAUGCAAGCGUUAUCCGGAUUUAUUGGGUUUAAAGGGUGCGUAGGCGGAACAAUAAGUCAGUGGUGAAAGCCUGCAGCUUAACUGUAGAAUUGCCAUUGAUACUGUUGUUCUUGAGUAUAGUUGAAGUGGGCGGAAUGUGUAAUGUAGCGGUGAAAUGCUUAGAUAUUACACAGAACACCAAUUGCGAAGGCAGCUCACUAAGCUGUUACUGACGCUGAGGCACGAAAGCGUGGGGAGCAAACAGGAUUAGAAACCCUCGUAGUCC
This 292-nucleotide ribosomal RNA is filed under the name uncultured bacterium. RNAcentral describes it as "partial 16S ribosomal RNA". It matches the Rfam family "Bacterial small subunit ribosomal RNA", at positions 505 to 796 of the family's 1533-position model. The record is from RNAcentral.